Molecule: long non-coding RNA, 391 nt
Filed under: Hordeum vulgare
Lineage: Eukaryota; Viridiplantae; Streptophyta; Magnoliopsida; Poales; Poaceae
Description: long non-coding RNA (HVUL_LNC006659)
Source: RNAcentral
UGGCAACACAUCAGUCCUCCUAUAGUCACUACCGCGUUUCUCAACCAUGCACACCACUGCGCUUAUUAACUGUCCCACAACUAUAACAACCUGCUAUUUUCUGAAACACAAGUUCUGAAUCACCAAAGGAACCACCAAACCGAGGCCACACACCGGAAAUGCAGGACGCAAUCUAUGUGGUGAGGAUGGGGGGAAGGUAGUCCGACUUGGUGCCGAGGAUGCGGGCCCGGGUGUCGGGGAAGAACUCCAUGCCAGGCAGCUCCGUCACCACGCCGUCGUUGGCGACACCAAUGGGGUAGCUCAGCAGGUGGCCGGGGAGGUCCUGCUCCAGGUCGUCGCUGGAGUAUAAGUCCCAGUACUUGUCGGCGAUCCUGUUCACCUUCUGGACACA